GAGAUGAUGGGUAUAACAGUGGUGUUUGUGUGGGUACCGGCACAUAUUGGAGUGAGAGGGAAUGAGGUGGUAGAUAAGGUGGCAAAAGAGGCAACAAAAUGUGAAGAAAUUGAAUUACGCAUAAAUAUCAGCAAGAUGGAGGGUAAAAACAUAAUUAAAAGGAAAAUGAAGGAGAAAUGGCAGAAGAGCAGAAGGGAAGAAACCGUAAUAUCACGGUUAAGAUUUGGACAUACAGGGCUAAAUGCAUCGUUGUUUAUGGUUGGAAAACAUGACACAGGGAGGUGUGAUCAUUGUGAGGAGCAGGAAACUGUAGA
Molecule: long non-coding RNA, 314 nt
Organism: Gadus macrocephalus (Pacific cod)
Lineage: Eukaryota; Metazoa; Chordata; Actinopteri; Gadiformes; Gadidae
Exons: 2
Source: RefSeq, a predicted model, not a curated record